GAUUACCGGAUAUGUAACAGACGUGGAACACGCCGGAUUUGCUCAUGGAUCACAAGUGAAAGAAGGAGAAAACUCAGGGAUGCAUUCAAAGCAGAGAACCAUAGAAUGGCAAGAAUCGUGGGACGUGUAAAUGAUACCAUGAAGGGAGUGAGCGAUGGACCAGAGCAAGAAUAAUUUCUCUCUGCAAAGAUGAAGGAAUGAAUGAAUACAUGAAGAAAUCUGUCCUUCUGUGUGGAUCCAAUCCUGGAAAUGAAUAUUUUGCUGCAUAAGACAUGAAAAGAGACAGACACGAGGAACAUUCUGUGGGAAAGAUUUUACCAGAGCUGGGAUGGCUUCAUAGGUAUGCACGUGCAACAGGACAAGAGAAGGAAAUUCAAGACUCAGUGAAAAUCAACAGUUUAAAGUAGCCAGCAUUGCUGCGGAUUAUAUGGCCGGAGAACCCAAAUCGCUCCUUUCAAGUCAAGUCCUGGGGUAAUUCGCACGGCUUCCUUCAAAGACUAAUUCAUUUAACACGGAACAGUACGGUUCAGAGCUGAAGUAAUAGUUAACAUAUUGCUUAACUCUAGCCUGGACUGUUCUUAACACUCAUAUCCUCUUUAUUAAAGGAUUGCUAGAGAGUCUGAAGCAAA
Long non-coding RNA from Panthera uncia (snow leopard), 629 nucleotides. RefSeq lists it as uncharacterized. NCBI's taxonomy places the organism in Eukaryota, Metazoa, Chordata, Mammalia, Carnivora, Felidae. The transcript has 3 exons. The record is from RefSeq and is a predicted model, not a curated record.